GACGAACGCUGGCGGCGUGCUUAACACAUGCCAGUCGAACGGUAAGGCUCCAGCUUGCUGGGGUACACGAGUGGCGAACGGGUGAGUAACACGUGGGUGACCUGCCCUGCACUUCGGGAUAAGCCUGGGAAACUGGGUCUAAUACCGGAUAGGACCGCACCGUGAGGGUGUGGUGGAAAGUUUUUUCGGUGUGGGAUGGGCCCGCGGCCUAUCAGCUUGUUGGUGUGGUAAUGGCCUACCAAGGCGGCGACGGGUAGCCGGCCUGAGAGGGUGGACGGCCACAUUGGGACUGAGACACGGCCCAGACUCCUACGGGAGGCAGCAGUGGGGAAUAUUGCACAAUGGGCGGAAGCCUGAUGCAGCGACGCCGCGUGGGGGAUGACGGCCUUCGGGUUGUAAACUCCUUUCACCAUCGACGAAGGGUUUCUGACGGUAGAUGGAGAAGAAGCACCGGCUAACUACGUG
Molecule: ribosomal RNA, 465 nt
Filed under: uncultured bacterium
Lineage: Bacteria
Description: partial 16S ribosomal RNA
Rfam family: Bacterial small subunit ribosomal RNA
Source: RNAcentral